Mytilus californianus (California mussel) is the source of this 1298-nucleotide long non-coding RNA. RefSeq lists it as uncharacterized. The record is from RefSeq and is a predicted model, not a curated record. The transcript is spliced from 2 exons. NCBI's taxonomy places the organism in Eukaryota, Metazoa, Mollusca, Bivalvia, Mytilida, Mytilidae.
AUAUGGGUAAAGCCAAAAAGGUGCUCCAAAUUGGUCAAAUAACCAUUUGAAGCUUAAAUCCCAAUUUUAAAAUAUUUAAUAUAUGUUAUUUGAUUACAACUUGUUAUUGUGCAUCAGUGACAUGAUGAAGCAGAAGAUUUGAUAAAUAUCAAAUAUCCGCUAAUUCAAUGUGUCUUGUUAUUGAAGUUUGUCAAACGUAGAUCUGUACGUUCCUGUGUCCCAAGCGUGACAUGGAAACCCCCUUCUAACAAAAAAUAUACCUGGUUGUUUUUAUGGGCAAAAGAAAAACGGAAAGUAAGUUAAAUCGUCAGAAAAGUGUUGUUGCACUAUAAAUCCGUCAAAGUUUUGCGUGAAAUGCAGUAAAAUUAAUCAAAGAAACGAUUAUUUCGACAGGGUUAGUAAUGUUAUAUUGACAAUAGACUACUAUGGUAAAAAUAACGCACGGGGUUUUCCGCGAUAUCGUCAUCUGCGGAACAUUUGAUUGGUUCCUGUCAUAUUCAUGCGCCGUCGUAUCUCGGCUGUUUCAAAUAGUUCUAAUUUUGGUUUCGUAUUCCGUUUUAUGAGAAGCAUAGAAUGGCAAGUUUGUAAUGUCAAAAUAACGUAUAACGUACGUAAAUGUUUAUUCCUUAUUAUUAACGGGAAGAGUUUAUCCAGGGAGAAAUAAAAUACUUUGUUUCAUUUCAAAAUUGCUAUAUAUACGAAACUAAAUGUAAGCAUCACUAUCAUUCAUGGAUGAAAAUGGAAGAAGAACUCGAUGAUCUUUGAGAUAAAUCAACUGAGUAUGAACAGUGGAAUAGACAGCAGAAUGAACUUUAAAAUGUUUUUAAUUUGUUCAAAUAAAUGAUUUAAGGUUUGAUUCUUGAAUAGUGGUUUAAUUAUUAGUAUUCUCAUACAUUAAUCAUGUUGAUGUGUUUUAUACUUUACUUUCAAAAGUGUUGAUUUAAUAAGCUCUUGAAAAAAAAUUGUUGAAAACAGUUGAUCAAUAAAGUCACCAUCUGACAUAGCCAAGAGUAUCAUAACUGUACAUAUUAAAUGAGCAACCUUUGACCAAAGUACAAAGUCAGUUUAAGUGAGCCUAAUUAACAAUACUCCUAAAUACCAACAGUAAACAAUACAUUCCCCUGAAUACUGUGAGUAACUCAUUAAGUGUCUGUUUACCAUCAGGCUAUUAAGCUAACUCUUGCAGUGCACCGGAUGGUUUUAUUGGGUUAAAAGUAUGUCGGUUAAAAGCUCAUUAGAGCUCAUGUUGUCUCUGUUUGUAUACCUUGCCGACUCUAAAAUAAAGCUUAUUUAUUGGG